RNAcentral lists this transfer RNA (75 nucleotides) under Candidatus Doudnaibacteriota bacterium. Its description in RNAcentral is "Candidatus Doudnabacteria bacterium tRNA-Gln". It matches the Rfam family "tRNA". From Rfam's summary of the family: Transfer RNA (tRNA) molecules are approximately 80 nucleotides in length. Their secondary structure includes four short double-helical elements and three loops (D, anti-codon, and T loops). Further hydrogen bonds mediate the characteristic L-shaped molecular structure. tRNAs have two regions of fundamental functional importance: the anti-codon, which is responsible for specific mRNA codon recognition, and the 3' end, to which the tRNAs corresponding amino acid is attached (by aminoacyl-tRNA synthetases). tRNAs cope with the degeneracy of the genetic code in two manners: having more than one tRNA (with a specific anti-codon) for a particular amino acid; and 'wobble' base-pairing, i.e. permitting non-standard base-pairing at the 3rd anti-codon position. Lineage: Bacteria; Candidatus Doudnaibacteriota. The record is from RNAcentral.
UGGGCCGUAGCCAAGUGGUAAGGCAUCGGGUUUUGGUCCCGUGUACCGCAGGUUCGAAUCCUGCCGGCCCAGCCA